Dreissena polymorpha is the source of this 828-nucleotide long non-coding RNA. RefSeq lists it as uncharacterized. NCBI's taxonomy places the organism in Eukaryota, Metazoa, Mollusca, Bivalvia, Myida, Dreissenidae. The record is from RefSeq and is a predicted model, not a curated record. The transcript has 3 exons.
ACAAUCUUAUUAGUUUGUUUUAUGUCUUUACAAAUGUUCAAUUCAUAUGUUUUGUGGAAAGCUGAACUCAAUAUCGUCUAUAAUGUACCACUUCUUUAAAACAUAAGCGAUCAAUAUGUUUGGUUUAAACUUAUUUAUUACGACAUAGUAACAUAUUCACAAGUUACAAGACAUUGACAUAGGAUCAAUAUGUUUCAAUUAUGGUCCUCUUCCAGUUAGAAUAUAACUAUAGUACCUUGACCUUAUUGAAUAUGAACAAUUUCCCCAUGGUGGCUUACUUUAUACUGUCAAGCUCUUGAAUAGUCGAGCGCGCUGUUUUCUGACAGCUCUUGUUGUUUUUCUCAUCGACAUUUCCAUUUUAACAUUUAGUAGCCAAAAGGGUCCAAGUCCCCUUGAUCUCGCAAGAACGUACUGCCAGAAUUACGUUGAUCCACCAGGGUUUGAAGUAAAACCGUCAAUGAUGUCAUAGGCGAAGGAGUCUUUGCCACUAAGCCUUUUAAAAAAGGAGACUUUCUUCUCGAAUACAAAGGGGAUCUGAUAACACGAGUAAAACAUGCACGGCAAUUAGAAAAGGAGUAUGAAAAGGAGGGUCAAGGCAGCUUCAUUUACUUUUUUAAAUACAGAGACAAAUCUUGCUGCAUUGACGCUACCAACGAUAUAUUUCAUGAGGGUCGAAUGAUAAAUGAUGCCGAAAAUGGAGACGCAAAACAAUAUUGUGUAAUGAAAAUAGUUGAAGUCAACCAAACUCUCCAUCUAUGCACUUUCGCCGACAGAGACAUUGCAAUUGGCGAGGAACUCCGAUAUGAUUAUGGAGUACCAACACUUCCA